Molecule: long non-coding RNA, 897 nt
Organism: Oncorhynchus tshawytscha (Chinook salmon)
Lineage: Eukaryota; Metazoa; Chordata; Actinopteri; Salmoniformes; Salmonidae
Source: Ensembl
GAAAGGAGGGAGAGGAGGAAUGGGGGGAGAGGAGGAAGAGAGGGAGAGGAGAAGAGAGGGAGAGGAAAGGAGGGAGAGGAGGAAGAGAGGGAGAGGAGGGAGAGAGGGAGAGGAGGAAGAGAGGGAGAGGAGGAAAGGAGGGAGAGGAGGAAGAGAGGGAGAGGAGGAAGAGAGGGAGAGGAGGAAAGGAGGUAGAAGAGGAAAGGAGGUAGAGGAGGAAGAGAGGGAGAGGAGGAAGAGAGGGAGAGGAGGAAGGGAGGGAGAGGAGGAAAGGAGGGAGAGGAGGAAGAGAGGGAGAGGAGGAAAGGAGGGAGAGAGGGAGAGGAGGAAAGGAGGUAGAGGAGGAAAGUAGGUAGAGGAGGAAGAGAGGGGGAGGAAAGGAGGGAGAGGAGGAAGAGAGGGAGAGGCAAAGAAGGAAUGAGAGGAGUAAAGAGAGGGAGAGGAGGUGAGGAGGAGAGGAAGGACAGGAGGAAGAGAGGGAGAAGAGUAAAAGAGGGAGAGGAGGAAAGGAAGGAGAGGAGGUAGAGAGGGAGAGGAAAGCAGGGAGAGGAGGAAGAGAGGGAGAGGAGGCAGAGAGGGAGAGGAGGAAAGGAAGGAGAGGAGGAAGAGAGGGAGAGGAGGAAGGGAGGGAGAGGAGGAAAGGAGGGAGAGGAGGAAGAGCGGGAGAGGAGGUAAGGAGGGAGAGGAGGAAGAGAGGGAUAGGAGGAAAGGAGGGAGAGGAUGGAGAGAGGGAGAGGAGGAAAGGAGGUAGAGGACGAAAGGAGAUAGAGGAGGCAGAGAGAGAGAGGAGGAAAGGAGGGAGAGGAGGUAGAGAGGGAGAGCAAAGCAGGGAGAGGAGGAAGAGAGGGAGAGGAGGAAGAGAGGGAGAGGAGAAAAGGAGGGAGAGGAGGAAGAGAG